RNAcentral lists this ribosomal RNA (482 nucleotides) under uncultured bacterium. RNAcentral describes it as "partial 16S ribosomal RNA". It matches the Rfam family "Bacterial small subunit ribosomal RNA", at positions 28 to 507 of the family's 1533-position model. The record is from RNAcentral.
GACGAACGCUGGCGGCGUGCCUAACACAUGCAAGUCGAACGGAACUGUUUUGAAAGAUUUCUUCGGAAUGAAUUUGAUUUAGUUUAGUGGCGGACGGGUGAGUAACGCGUGAGUAACCUGCCUUCAAGAGGGGAAUAACAUUCUGAAAAGAAUGCUAAUACCGCAUGACAUAUCGGAACCACAUGGUUUUGAUAUCAAAGAUUUUAUCGCUUGAAGAUGGACUCGCGUCCGAUUAGUUAGUUGGUGAGAUAACGGCUCACCAAGACCGCGAUCGGUAGCCGGACUGAGAGGUUGAACGGCCACAUUGGGACUGAGACACGGCCCAGACUCCUACGGGAGGCAGCAGUGGGGGAUAUUGCGCAAUGGGGGCAACCCUGACGCAGCAACGCCGCGUGAAGGAUGAAGGUUUUCGGAUUGUAAACUUCUUUUAUUAAGGACGAAAAAUGACGGUACUUAAUGAAUAAGCUCCGGCUAACUACGUG